This 492-nucleotide ribosomal RNA is filed under the name uncultured bacterium. Its description in RNAcentral is "partial 16S ribosomal RNA". It matches the Rfam family "Bacterial small subunit ribosomal RNA", at positions 29 to 507 of the family's 1533-position model. The record is from RNAcentral.
AGUGAACGCUGGCGGUAGGCCUAACACAUGCAAGUCGAACGGCAGCACAGUAAGAGCUUGCUCUUACGGGUGGCGAGUGGCGGACGGGUGAGGAAUACAUCGGAAUCUACUUUUUCGUGGGGGAUAACGUAGGGAAACUUACUCUAAUACCGCAUACGACCUACGGGUGAAAGCAGGGGAUCUUCGGACCUUGCGCGAUUGAAUGCGCCGAUGUCGGAUUAGCUAGUUGGCGGGGUAAAGGCCCACCAAGGCGACGAUCCGUAGCUGGUCUGAGAGGAUGAGUAGGCACACUGGAACUGAGACACGGUCCAGACUCCUACGGGAGGCAGCAGUGGGGAAUAUUGGACAAAGGGGGCAAGCCUGAUCCAGCCAUACCGCGUGGGUGAAGAAGGCCUUCGGGUUGUAAAGCCCUUUUGUUGGGAAAGAAAAGCAGCAGGUUAAUACCCCGCUGUUCUGACGGUACCCAAAGAAUAAGCACCGGCUAACUUCGUG